GGAUAAUUGCCAAAACAAAAGUAGAAUCUUAGAAGAGGACAAGCUCUUUUUAUAGCUUGUCCUCUUCUAAGAUUCUACUUGUCAUGUCAA
This 90-nucleotide small RNA is filed under the name Mytilus galloprovincialis (Mediterranean mussel). The record is from RNAcentral. Lineage: Eukaryota; Metazoa; Mollusca; Bivalvia; Mytilida; Mytilidae.